GUAAAAAAUGUGGAGAAGAAAGACAUAGGAGGGACGUUAUGGCUAUUAUGAGUAAUAUAGAUAAUAGAUUGGCUUAUCUUCAAUAUCAACUAUUAGUACAACAAUGUGAUACCAGAUAUUGCUUAUAACUCCCUUUAAGAUGUGCCUAACAAGAUUGUCUCUGUUCUUAAUAUAAUUUUCAGGGAUGUUGUCACCAUUCUCCGAGGUCUUAGGGAGACACUCAAACUCCUCCCCAACAGAGCUAAUCAAAUUAAUGCUCUGCGUGGGGAGGAGUUUGAUUGCGCGGCCCGAGCCUUCAGCAGAUCUAAUUUUGACCCAGAGUCAAAAUUAGAUGUCGUGUUUGUAGACGAUGAUGGUAUUGGAGAGGGGGCUGUGGAUGAAGGUGGUCCAACAAGGGAGUUCUGCCGCCUUCUCACCAGGCAGCUCCAAACACAUAGCAUUUUUGAAGGGCCCCUGGAAAAACGCACCUUGGCCCUAGAUAGUGUUGCUUUGCACAAUGGGAUAUACCGGAAGGUCGGCCAAAUGCUGAUAGUUUGCCUUGUGCAGGGAGGAGUGUCUCCAAAUUUCUUUUCAGAGCGCCUUUACCGACAGGUUUGUGGUUCAUCAUCUCUUCCGGGAAACAUAGAGGAGGUGAUGGACCACGCUCUUAAAGAAAAGCUCAGAAAGG
RNAcentral lists this long non-coding RNA (667 nucleotides) under Scophthalmus maximus (turbot). RNAcentral's name for it is "lncRNA (ENSSMAG00000035398.1)". The record is from RNAcentral. Lineage: Eukaryota; Metazoa; Chordata; Actinopteri; Pleuronectiformes; Scophthalmidae.